RNAcentral lists this ribosomal RNA (306 nucleotides) under uncultured bacterium. Its description in RNAcentral is "partial 16S ribosomal RNA". It matches the Rfam family "Bacterial small subunit ribosomal RNA", at positions 507 to 809 of the family's 1533-position model. The record is from RNAcentral.
GACAGCAGUAGCCGCGGGAAUACAGAGGGUGCGAGCGUUAAUCGGAUUUACUGGGCGUAAAGCGUGCGUAGGCGGCUUCUUAAGUCGGAUGUGAAAUCCCUGAGCUUAACUUAGGAAUUGCAUUCGAUACUGGGAAGCUAGAGUAUGGGAGAGGAUGGUAGAAUUCCAGGUGUAGCGGUGAAAUGCGUAGAGAUCUGGAGGAAUACCGAUGGCGAAGGCAGCCAUCUGGCCUAAUACUGACGCUGAGGUACGAAAGCAUGGGGAGCAAACAGGAUUAGAUACCCCAGUAGUCCCUGUCUCUUAUAU